Non-coding RNA from Xyrichtys novacula (pearly razorfish), 3142 nucleotides. The record is from the annotation of a GenBank genome assembly. Lineage: Eukaryota; Metazoa; Chordata; Actinopteri; Labriformes; Labridae.
GGAGGAGGGAGGAAGGAGAGCGAAGGAAAAAAGUUUCCCGGCUGUCCAUCAUGGAGCUAUCAGAGUGUUAUCUGUGCCAGACGCCCACCAUCCUCAGCAGCGAUACUGAGACAGCAUCCAGGACCUCAGGACGCCGCGGGAAACACAGCAGGACACCAAGAGAGGUGUGACAACGUCAGAGUAUGCAGCAGGCGUGGAACACACAUGUAAGUGCACACAUACGAGGACACACAAUAAGCGCUCAUUUCCACACACAUACAGACAAAAAGACAAGCACUUACACCAUCUGAUAACACAAAAACUGUCACGCCUACACAAAGCAGACACUAGGAAUGCUGUAAGACAUGUAUCAGAGUGGCGAUAGCUUUAAUAGAAUUUACUUGGAAAAACAACAGACUUAAAGUUAAGUAUAUCAAGGUGGAUGACACUUUACUUGACGCCUAUCUCUAUAACCGUAAUAAAUAUAUGUAUAAUGCGUUAUAAUCACAUUAUAGCACUGCAUAACUAUAGUUAUAAACACUCGUUAAUGAUCAUAAUGCUUUAUAGCAAUAAUCAGUCAGGUAUUAUAAUGUGUUAUGUUUAUUGUUAUAAAGCCUUAUGAUAAUUAAUUAGUGUUUAUAAUGAUCGUUAUACAAGUUUAUAAGCAAAUUAUAACACAUUAUAAAUAUAUGUAUAAUGCAUUAUCUAUGUGGGCAUUGUCAGUGAGUUUUUAACAGUUAUAACACAUUAUAAUACCCAACCCUUUAAGUCAUGAUAAAAUGCUUUAUAAUGUCUGGACAUAUAAAGCAUUAUGAUCAUUUAUGAGUGUUUAUAACUAUAGUUAUACAGUGCUAUAACAUGAUUACAAUGCAUUAUACAUAUAUUUAUAAUGCGUUAUGGAGAUAGGCGUCAAGUAAAGUGUUACCAAAACAUGCAAAAAUGUUGCCCCUUUUUUAUUGCUAGUAAACCUUUAACAGCUUCUGUCAAUAAAUUAAACCAUACCUCAAUUAAAACAGAAAAAAAGAUAAGUCAAAGAGAUAACUAUGACACAAAUACUCCAAUUGCACCAAAGCAUUAAAGCAACUUUUAAAAAAAACGUGUGCUUAGUCAGUUUACGUGACUCCCUUGACCCAGUAGUGAGUCUAUUACCUUUGCUGAUCCUGCCCCGUGUGCUUUGGUUGUAUUUUCUGAUGAUCAACCUUCACCCCUUCUUCUGCUAAAAGCACGUCCAGUCUGCUUGUUGUGACACAGUGACAGAGGUAAUAAACAUUAAAUAUGACUAUAAAUGAAAUAUCAAGUUCAACCUGACAAACUCUUCACAGUAUGGAGACAUAAAUCUAGAAAAAGAGAGAAGAGGGGAAAAUAAAUUAAAUGAAGAGACACUCGUUCAAGCCGAGCAUUUCCUGCCAACGCUGCAGCAUAAGAAGAAAAAGAAGAAAACAGAUACAGCGAGUCCAAAAAUCACUUGGAAAAAAAACUGCUAGUGCAUGUUGUUCAAUAUUUGGAAGACUUGGUGACUGUCUGCUCAAAUAUUGCCCCAUGGCUGUUGGGCUUGAGAGAGGGAACAGAGUGGCAGUGAGACUGACAGUGAGAUCUCUGUCAGUAGCCAACACUCUGUUUAUCCGUCUGUCUGUCUGUCUGUCUGUUUAUGUGACUGUCAAAUUAUCCCUCUCAGCAAACAGCUCGCCAUGAGCCCAAUGUAAAUAACACGGUCAACGACGGUCACGUGAGCCAGCUGGUCCGGCUCCUGUCUGGUCAGCUGAGCUGUCACACAGGCCGCGUUCAAAGGAGAAACGCCUGGCUAUAGUUGAAGUGGUGAGCUGAUUUUGUGAGCAAAUAUUAGACUUUUUGUGAUGUGGCUGGUGACACUUUGUUUGAAUUGCAUAGUAAGGUAUACUUUUGCGCUAAACAUGUGUAGCUGGAACUAAACUGUGUGUGAAAGAGAUGUUAAAUCACUCUAAAUAAGAAGUACGCGUCUGAAGAAAAGGAUCAAGAACGACUCUCACUCUAGACAUACACUUUUUCAUGCUGUUAGUUUAUAUAUAUAUGUGUCUGUUUCCAAAACGACUGGUCUCACCUGAACAUUACAGGCCUGUUUGCUUGCAAUUUUCCCUCAUGCCACAGUAUAUACAACAAAUUACACCGGUUAGCCCUGUGACUGACAGAAGCUUUCAUUAAAAUCAGAUCAUCCUGGAUGAAAAUAUCCUCUGUUGAAAAUCUCGAUUCCAUGCGGAUUACACAGCAAACAUACAGCAGGCAGACAUAAACAGACACACAUCAGUGCUGUGAUUCAUGAAUCCCCUCAUCGUUGUUCAAAUGAUCUCUCUUUACAUAAAAAAAAAUCUUCCCUGAUGUCUUUCUCGUCAGCUUUUAAGAUAAACGGCUUCAACGUAAAGCAUGCCAGAAUCCAUUAUGAAUGCCUACAUGAGUGACUGACAGGUCAUACUGAAAGAAAUCAACUGUGGUGUGGAUGUUUGGGGAAAAGGUGUACAUUUUUUUUAGUACAAGAGAGAAAACCUGGCGCCUUCAGAAGAGACAAACAGAAGUUUUGACACAGAUGCUACAUGCAUCUUCUGUAGACUGUAUAUACGAUGGACAACUUGGUUCCGCCUUUCGCCAGUAAACGGAUUUAAAGCAGAAAAGCUCGCAGUAUUUCUGUGAUUUUUCUCCACUUUCUGAAACCAACAUUGCGCAGUAGCAUUGCACACAAUCUCCGUACGCCCAUAGGUUUUAUCAAGUGUCAAUCAUAGAAAACAUGAACCUCCUAAUAACUUAAAAAUUGAGCUGUACAGAAAAAAGAGGACUUAAGCUCAAACCAGUCUGACAUGAAAUCUCCAAAAUCCGGCAACUGGACUGUGUAGAGUUGAGAAGACGUUUCGCCGCUUAUCCAAGAAGCUUCUUUAGUUCUAAAAGUGUUAGUGGGGGGAGCUGGUGUUUCAACUCUACACAGUCCAGUUGCCAGAUUUUGGAGAUUUCGAGAAAAACCAUGACCUGGAUGAAUGAGAAUCUACAUGAACAACCAGUAUUACAAUAACUACAUGUCAACAUCGCAAGCAGGGGGGAGAAAAAUUAUAUUCUGUGUAAUAAAUUUCUAAAGUUUGUCCACAGCUCCAUAGGGAUGGAUGGAUACUGCAGCUUGUCGUCAGAGUGUGCUGUUCUUGGG